RNAcentral lists this ribosomal RNA (467 nucleotides) under uncultured bacterium. Its description in RNAcentral is "partial 16S ribosomal RNA". It matches the Rfam family "Bacterial small subunit ribosomal RNA", at positions 29 to 507 of the family's 1533-position model. The record is from RNAcentral.
ACGAACGCUGGCGGCGGGCUUAACACAUGCAAGUCGAACGGAAAGGCCCUGCUUUUGUGGGGUGCUCGAGUGGCGAACGGGGGAGUAACACGUGAGUAACCUGCCCUUGACUUUGGGAUAACUUCAGGAAACUGGGGCUAAUACCGGAUAGGAGCUCCUGCUGCUUGGUGGGGGUUGGAAAGUUUCGGCGGUUGGGGAUGGACUCGCGGCUUAUCAGCUUGUUGGUGGGGUAGUGGCUUACCAAGGCUUUGACGGGUAGCCGGCCUGGGAGGGGGACCGGCCACAUUGGGACUGAGAUACGGCCCAGACUCCUACGGGGGGCAGCGGUGGGGAAUAUUGCACAAUGGGCGGAAGCCUGAUGCAGCAACGCCGCGUGCGGGAUGACGGCCUUCGGGUUGUAAACCGCUUUCGCCUGUGACGAAGCGUGAGUGACGGUAAUGGGUAAAGAAGCACCGGCUAACUACGUG